Anolis sagrei ordinatus is the source of this 621-nucleotide non-coding RNA. NCBI's taxonomy places the organism in Eukaryota, Metazoa, Chordata, Lepidosauria, Squamata, Anolidae. The record is from RefSeq and is a predicted model, not a curated record.
UCGCAAAGGCUGCUGGGAAAUGUAGUUCUUCCCUAGGGAAAGAAGGGAAUGGAAGCCCAUUCGUAGCAGCAGCAGCAGGUGUUGUCCAUCUGAUGAUAUUCCCGUUUUUUUUGGGAACUAAACUACAAAACGUUAGUUAUAUGAGCAACUGAACUGGAGGACUUUUCGCAUGACAUAGAACAUGAUGAUAUUCCUGGACUAGAAGGUUACGGUAUCCAUAGACUUUUCAAUGCCUGGAUCUUUUGAUGACCUAGAAGGUGAUGCUUUGAAUGACCAAGGACAUCAUGCUAUCCCCGGACUAGGACGUGAUAUAUCCAUAGACCUUGGGAUGACCCAAAAUGCUAUGGGAUCCAUUGACCUCCCAUCCGUAAAGUCGUCACGUUCCUGAAUGAGGUGGUGCCACCCCCAGGUGGUUAGAUGUCCUAGAACACAAUUGGAACUCAAUGACUGUUGAACGACCUAGAACAUUGCCAACCCAUGACGCUGUGCUCUUCGUGAACUAAAAGGUGGUACUUUCCCUAGACUUGGGUGACCUGGAACACCCCACAACCAUUGAAUAUCGACAUACAGGGACAUUGAGAUAUGCCUGAACUAGAAGGCGGUACUAUCCCUGCUUUUUUU